GCGGGAGUAGCUCAGUUGGUAGAGCGCAACCUUGCCAAGGUUGAGGUCGAGAGUUCGAGACUCUUCUCCCGCUCCA
This 76-nucleotide transfer RNA is filed under the name Pseudomonas sp. Its description in RNAcentral is "tRNA-Gly". It matches the Rfam family "tRNA". Rfam says of the family: Transfer RNA (tRNA) molecules are approximately 80 nucleotides in length. Lineage: Bacteria; Pseudomonadati; Pseudomonadota; Gammaproteobacteria; Pseudomonadales; Pseudomonadaceae. The record is from RNAcentral. RNAcentral also lists the same sequence under 694 other names.